GGCGAUUGGGCCCGAGUUUGAUCCUGGCUCAGAACGAACGCUGGCGGCAGGCCUAACACAUGCAAGUCGAACGGGCGUAGCAAUACGUCAGUGGCGGACGGGUGAGUAACACGUGGGAAUAUGCCUUUCGGUUCGGAACAACUCGGGGAAACCCGUGCUAAUUCCGGAUACGCCCUUACGGGGAAAGAUUUAUCGCCGAAAGAUUAGCCCGCGUCCGAUUAGCUAGUUGGUGAGGUAAAGGCUCACCAAGGCACCGAUCGGUAGCUGGUUUGAGAGAACGACCAGCCACACUGGGACUGAGACACGGCCCAGACUCCUACGGGAGGCAGCAGUGGGGAAUCUUGGACAAUGGGCGCAAGCCUGAUCCAGCCAUGCCGCGUGAGUGAUGAAGGCCUUCGGGUUGUAAAACUCUUUUGGCGGGGACGAUAAUGACGGUACCCGCAGAAUAAGCUCCGGCUAACUUCGUGCCAGCAGCCGCGGU
Molecule: ribosomal RNA, 481 nt
Filed under: uncultured bacterium
Lineage: Bacteria
Description: bacterial SSU rRNA
Rfam family: Bacterial small subunit ribosomal RNA
Source: RNAcentral